CUCCAGAGGAGCACGGCCGCAUCUGGCUGAAGGACCAAGCGCACUGUCCAAAGAGCCACACCCCCUCCCCAGCAGAGGAAUAGGCACCACCAUCAACACCCGAAGCCCCAGCAGCAGCAGGAACGAACUGCCAGUCACAAGGCACCUUGAGAGUUUCAGGAUGCAGAUGUCUCCUGUCUUUGCCUGCCUCGCCCUGGGCCUGGCCCUCAUCUUUGGUGAAGGCUCUGCCUCCUACAAUUACCAGUCUCCGGCGGCCCACCUGGCCACAGACUUUGGAGUGAAAGUGUUUCAGCAGGUGGUGCAGGCCUCCAAGGACCUCAACGUGGUUUUCUCACCCUAUGGGGUAGCCUCAGUCAUGGCCAUGUUACAGCUGACCACAGGAGGAGAAACCCAGCGGCAGAUCCAAGAGGCAAUGCAAUUCAAGAUUGAUGAGAAGGGCAUGGCCCCUGCCCUCCGUCGACUGUACAAGGAGCUCAUGGGGCCAUGGAAUAAGGAUGAGAUCAGCACGGCUGAUGCCAUCUUUGUGCAGCGGGAUCUGAAGCUGGUCCAGGGUUUCAUGCCCCACUUCUUCAGGCUGUUCCGGACCACAGUCAAGCAGGUGGACUUCUCAGAGAUAGAGAGAGCCAGGUUCAUCGUCAACGACUGGGUGAAAAGACACACAAAAGGCAUGAUCAGCGACUUACUUGGCGAAGGGGCUGUGGACCAGCUGACACGCCUGGUGCUGGUAAACGCCCUCUACUUCAACGGCCAGUGGAAGAUGCCUUUUCUAGAGUCGAGCACCCACCACCGCCUCUUCCACAAGUCCGAUGGCAGCACUGUCUCUGUGCCCAUGAUGGCUCAGACCAACAAGUUCAACUACACUGAGUUCACCACCCCCGAUGGCCAUUACUACGACAUCCUGGAGUUGCCCUACCACGGGAACACUCUCAGCAUGUUCAUUGCUGCCCCCUAUGAAAAAGAGGUGCCUCUCUCUGCCCUCACCAACAUUCUGGAUGCCCAGCUCAUCAGCCAGUGGAGAGGGAAUAUGACCAGACUGACCCGCCUCCUGGUUCUGCCCAAGUUCUCCCUGGAGAGUGAAGUUGACCUCAGGAGGCCCCUGGAGAACUUGGGAAUGACCGACAUGUUUAGGCCAAACCAGGCCGACUUCUCAAGACUUUCAGAUCAAGAGCUUCUGUACGUGUCACAGGCGCUGCAGAAAGUGAAGAUUGAGGUGAAUGAGAGCGGCACGGUGGCGUCCUCCUCCACAGGUGAGUCAGGCUCAGGUGAGGCCUGGCAAGUCUCAGCCCCAGGCUUCCAGGAGGGGCCGCGGUCUGGCACCCAGACCCUGGGUGAACUGGGAAGACCCCACUGCCCAUGUCAACCAGGUCUCUCGUGGUAGAGCUUCGCUUCCUGUGUGGAGAGCACCAUCCCAAUCCUACUAGAAUACAGGCCUGCUUUCCCUGGCACCCCGUUCCCUCCCCACUGGCUCUGAGGUCCUCUGAAUGUGAGGUCCUGGCUUGCUCUCAGAGUGGUCAGUCAACUUAAAGGCACUUGCUUCCAAUACGCCCUAAAAGGGUUUAGAUAAACGUGCCUGCGAGUGACUACCUGAGAGAUCUCUACCCGAUUCCUGGAGGAAACCAGGCCUCAGAGGACAUCCCAACACUUUUAGGGUUCACAUCCAGGAAACAACUGAGCCUCCUGAAACCACCCCCCAUCCCAGUGCCACUGUCACUGGAUCACCUGUGACCAAUCCAAGCUCCCGUGCCCACGUCCCUCUGCUCUAAGACAUGGUCCCUUCUCUUCCAGCCCUUAUAGUCUCAGCCCGAAUGGCCCCCGAGGAGAUCAUCAUGGACAGACCCUUCCUCUUCGUGGUGCGGCACAACCCCACAGGAACUGUCCUUUUCAUGGGCCAAGUGAUGGAACCCUGACCAUGGGAAAUGCAGCCCUCAUCUGGGACGGAACUGGAGAUGUCCAAGAAGAAGAAACUCCGGAGCAAAGAAUUUUUAUUUUAAUUCAUUUUUCUGGAGAAAGAGAAGAUAUUUACCUUUUUUUUUUUUUUUUUUUUAAAUGGUAAAUCUUUCGAAUCUGCCUCUUAGACCUCCGGCUCUCCCAGGAGGGGGAAAGAGGACCUUUGAGUUAAACUCCCCAGUGGAGACCCUGGGGGAGACCUCGGAAGCACAAUGCCCCGAAGGUCUCCCAGCAAGACUGCAGAACUCCCAGGAUCAUUUGCGCAGCUGCUUCUGCCCAUCGCUCUGCCCGUUCGGGUCUUCGGACCCGGAUCGCACUGAGGCCCUGGCAGGAUGGCACCGCAAGGCUUACAGGAAGGAGCUUUUGUGUGUUUGCUAGAAAUAAUUUGUGUUCCGGUCACGUUGCCAUCACUCUUGCACUGUCUUGCCACUGCUGAGAAAGCUGGCUGCAGGCCAAAGAAGGCCAAUGGGAGAAACACUCUUUCAUGUCAAGGUCCGUCCUCCCCCAGCUCAGAGGCGCGAGACCCACCCAGGCCUGGCUGGCCCCUCCCCAGAAACAGUGUGCAUAUAUUAUUUUGGAGUGUAGGUGACUUGUUUACUCAGAGAAGCAGGUUUCUGCUUCCCACAAACUUUAUGUUGCAGAAAUAGAGGGAGAGAGAUGAGAUGUAUGCUUGGUUCUUGGCUCCAAUAUCCUGGUGGGGAGGGUGGGAUGCCAGGGGUGUCCUUGAGUAUUUAUCACAUCCUUGUCCUUGUGUGCUUGUGAGAGAGAAAGGACUAUGGAGAAAACAUAUUAUUUAAACUUGUUCAUAGUGUUCCUUUGUGGUCUGUGUCAUUGCACCUCAGGAGUGGCCACUUGCCUGUCAUUCCCCUCCUGGCAGCAGGCGUGAUAGGGCCCACACUGCCACCUGGUGGCUGCCUGAACCCCAUCGCUCGUCUCCUGGCCUUUCCACUCCGUGGAGCAGGACCCCUGCCAGGACUGUCCAACUUCAGCCCACUUUAGGGACCAAAAGGAUGUGGUGGGUCAAGGCAGACAGAGUUGUUGUUUCAAAAUUUUCCAAUAUAUUUAGGAGCGGGAGUGCAAGAGGCUACACGACCUAGCAGGACAGAACUUUCCCCAAUUACAGGGUGACUCACAGCCGCAUUGGUGACUCACUUCAGUGUGUCAUUUCCGGCUGCUGUGUGUGAGCUGUGGACACGUGAGAGAGAGAGAGAGAGAGAGACAGAGAGACAGAGAGAGCGAGAGAGCGAGAGCGAGAGAGUGAGAGAGAGAAUGAGAGACAUAGCAAGAAGCUCGGGCUCAAUUACCCCCGUUAGAUAAUCUUUCUGAAAGCCAACUAGCUGGUGGGUAAGGCAUGAAGACCAAUUUAUUGAAGAAUUGCACAUAGAUGUCGAAUGAAUGUAACCUAAUAGAACCCUAAUCAUCCCACUGCGCCCUUCAGUGAAAAAUCUUCGUUCUUUGUGUGUUUUUUUUCUUUUUCCAUGAUGCACUGGACAAUGACAGCCACACAGUACCCUCAAGGAUACCCAGAUGUGGGGUCCAACGUUCUUGAAAGUGUGUUGAAUUCUAUGCUUUUUCACUUUUGAUAUAGAAGCAACUAAAAAAUGUUUUUUUUAAAUAAUAAAUAAA
RNA transcript from Balaenoptera musculus (blue whale), 3573 nucleotides. It is a transcript of the gene named serpin family E member 1, with no coding region annotated. The record is from RefSeq and is a predicted model, not a curated record. NCBI's taxonomy places the organism in Eukaryota, Metazoa, Chordata, Mammalia, Artiodactyla, Balaenopteridae. The transcript is spliced from 8 exons.